UAUAUGUAUGUUAAUAAAGACUUUUUUUAAAAUAUAAAUACUUAUUAUAACGUCUGGUCGAGCGUUACAAUGACGACGAGGCGUUCGUCUCAGACAGGUCUUUUAUUGAAAAACCUUAACAGUUACUGUCGGCUGUAACUACGCCACAUAACAACAAUGACUUCUCUACAUGCUCUUCUUUCCUUCCACUGGCUCCUCACUCCGUCACAUACACACAGACUCACUCGCACCCAAUCACAGACCUACCUAUAUACGUGCGUCCACUGACAGUCUGGAAUCACAGGAGUUAACAUUACAGAGAACCGGUCUAUUUCACUAUACAUGAGUUACAUUAACAAUUUACCUUUCAAAUGUUUAACCUCAUAUGUUAGAGAGAGUCGGGCGACAGAGCAAGACAUUGGCAGCUUCUUUGUUCAGAGGUUUUCAAAAGCACCAUCUCCAUCGAUAGUGCAUUUGAUGGUAACGCGCCUGAAUUCCAAACAGACCAAUCAGCGCACUCCAUCUGACCACCUCGACCAUUAACGGAUUUCCAAAGAGUUUUCUGCAGUUGCCUCGGUAAGUAUAUUUAUAAAACUCUGACUAAACUGCAAUUAUUCGUUUAAUCGAGAGGGCUACAUUGCAGACAGCUGACGUUAAGUCAACAUCCCGACAGUCUUACGACUAGCUGAACUGUUAUAACAGCAUAGGAAAGGACUGUAUCAUGUAGGCUUAAGGAAAAUGUGGCUCGCGUUUUAUCGCGCUAACGCUGGCAUGUUGAAGCCUCUGACUAGCUAACUAUACUGCUCGACGUGUUGAUUGAUUUGUACAUUGAAAUAUAUUCUUAUAACAUAUAACAUGUGGAGAAAACGUCAAAUCUGUAAAAGCAUAUACUUUGCAUUGCAAACUCCACCGCAAUGAACCCUGACGUUUUUUCAACUGUGUAGCAACAAAUUGUAAGCAAGUGCUUUCGAGUUAUGCAGCUUUAAAAUCGCAUUUCUAUCGCCACCAUAACAGUACAUCGACAAUUGAUCAGGACGUGACUUUAAUGCCAUUAAAAUGCACAGUCUCACUUUGUGAACGCCAGGUCCUCCUGCAUUGGUGCUGAGACAUUUAUAUUGAGCUUUGACUGAGAAGUUGUCAACAACCACAUCACUUUCUUCACAUCUGCCUGAUGUUUGGCAGUUACUACUGCUUCAACAUACACUACCUGGUGUUUCUUUUCAAUAAAUCCUGGAAGAAGAGUAAAAAAGUGUUAUUGGUCAGUCCCAGAGUCUUGACACUGAUCUCAGACCUUGCCAACAAUGAGUGGACCUACCAGUGAUGUUGAGGGAUGAUGUGAUAAAAGGUACAUUUGAUAUGAUAUACACUGCAGAUAUUUUGUUAUUAAAGGUGUGUACCUAUUAAAUCUGUCCACUCAUUUUGCUCACUGCAAUCAUUUUAAAACUAAUUUUGUUCUAACUCUUUCUCUCUCUCUCAUGGAGUUUGUUCUCAUCUACAGAGGCACCAAAGUUGAGUGUAAAAAGAAGAAAAUAAUCGCUG
Cynoglossus semilaevis (tongue sole) is the source of this 1518-nucleotide long non-coding RNA. RefSeq lists it as uncharacterized. NCBI's taxonomy places the organism in Eukaryota, Metazoa, Chordata, Actinopteri, Pleuronectiformes, Cynoglossidae. The transcript is spliced from 3 exons. The record is from RefSeq and is a predicted model, not a curated record.